AUACGGAGGGUGCGAGCGUUGUUCGGAAUUACUGGGCGUAAAGGGCGCGCAGGCGGCUUGAUAAGUCAGAUGUGAAAGCCCACGGCUCAACCGUGGAAGUGCAUCUGAAACUGUCUGGCUUGAGUACUGGAGAGGAAAGUGGAAUUCCUGGUGUAGAGGUGAAAUUCGUCGAUAUCAGGAGGAACACCGGUGGCGAAGGCGACUUUCUGGACAGAUACUGACGCUGAGGCGCGAAAGCGUGGGGAGCAAACAGGAUUAGAAACCCGAGUAGUCC
Molecule: ribosomal RNA, 274 nt
Filed under: uncultured bacterium
Lineage: Bacteria
Description: partial 16S ribosomal RNA
Rfam family: Bacterial small subunit ribosomal RNA
Source: RNAcentral